This 465-nucleotide ribosomal RNA is filed under the name Vreelandella stevensii. RNAcentral's name for it is "partial 16S ribosomal RNA". It matches the Rfam family "Bacterial small subunit ribosomal RNA", at positions 338 to 795 of the family's 1533-position model. Lineage: Bacteria; Pseudomonadati; Pseudomonadota; Gammaproteobacteria; Oceanospirillales; Halomonadaceae. The record is from RNAcentral.
CCUACGGGUGGCUGCAGUGGGGAAUAUUGGACAAUGGGGGCAACCCUGAUGCAGCCAUGCCGCGUGUGUGAAGAAGGCCCUCGGGUUGUAAAGCACUUUCAGUGAGGAAGAACGCCUGGUGGUUAAUACCCAUCAGGAAAGACAUCACUCACAGAAGAAGCACCGGCUAACUCCGUGCCAGCAGCCGCGGUAAUACGGAGGGUGCGAGCGUUAAUCGGAAUUACUGGGCGUAAAGCGCGCGUAGGUGGCUUGAUAAGCCGGUUGUGAAAGCCCCGGGCUCAACCUGGGAACGGCAUCCGGAACUGUCAAGCUAGAGUGCAGGAGAGGAAGGUAGAAUUCCCGGUGUAGCGGUGAAAUGCGUAGAGAUCGGGAGGAAUACCAGUGGCGAAGGCGGCCUUCUGGACUGACACUGACACUGAGGUGCGAAAGCGUGGGUAGCAAACAGGAUUAGAUACCCCGGUAGUC